RNAcentral lists this unclassified non-coding RNA (200 nucleotides) under Saitozyma sp. RNAcentral's name for it is "partial internal transcribed spacer 2". Lineage: Eukaryota; Fungi; Basidiomycota; Tremellomycetes; Tremellales; Trimorphomycetaceae. The record is from RNAcentral.
UUAAGUUCAGCGGGUAGUCCUACCUGAUUUGAGGUCAGAGUCAAAAAUUGCCCGAGGGCGAUUGUAAGCAGUCAUCACAACCUUCACCGACGAAACUUAUUACGCCGACUACGGUGCUAUCCCGCUAAGUCUUUUAAGGCGAGCCGGCAGAGCGGCAACACCCAAGUCCAAUCUCCUCGGAAACCCGAGGGAUUGAGUCU